RNAcentral lists this unclassified non-coding RNA (457 nucleotides) under Homo sapiens (human). RNAcentral's name for it is "pleckstrin homology and RUN domain containing M1 (ENSG00000277111.3)". The record is from RNAcentral. Lineage: Eukaryota; Metazoa; Chordata; Mammalia; Primates; Hominidae.
AGAAAAGUACAAUCCUAGCUGGGCACAGCGGCUCAUGCCUGUAAUCCCAGCACUUUGGGAGGCUGAGGUGGGCGGAUCACCUGAGGUCGGGAGUUGAGACCAGCCUGACCAACAUGGAGAAACCCUGUCUACUAAAAAAUACAAAAAUUAGCUGGGCGUGGUGGCGCAUGUUUGUAAUCCAGCUAAUCCGGAGGCUGAGAUCUGCAGGCAGGCCCUGAAGUUUCUGACACAGAUCCGGGCCCAGCCCCUCAUCAACCUGCAGAUGGUGAACGCGUCUCUGUACGAGCAUGUGGAGCGGAUGCACCUCAUUGGGAGGAGACGGGAGCAGCUGAAGCUCCUGGGGGAUUACCUGGGCCUGUGCCGGAGUGGCGCCCUGAAGGAGCUCAGCAAGAGGCUCAACCACAGGAAUUAUCUCUUGGAAUCUCCGCAUAGGUUCAGUGUUGCUGACCUCCAACAG